Non-coding RNA from Vicugna pacos (alpaca), 432 nucleotides. NCBI's taxonomy places the organism in Eukaryota, Metazoa, Chordata, Mammalia, Artiodactyla, Camelidae. The record is from RefSeq and is a predicted model, not a curated record.
CACUUCAGGCACCACUAUGUGCCCGAAAAUUGUUGGAGCGGCUUCCAGACACACCGCAAGGUCGUGGGCCCUGUCACCAUUACUGACUGUCUCUCGGCCAAGGCCUUUGAGAAGCUCCACGUGCAGAGGAGCUGUAUGGCACCACGCUUAAUGACUCUCAGCUUUUUGUCUCUGUGCUGCAUGGGGAGUCCAAGAGGCUGGAUAGGGCCCCUAAGAAGUCUGGGGACUAGAUCCCCCUCCUCUGCAUCCCGUUUGAGAAGGAGGACUUCAUGGGACUGGACACAGACAGCAGUAUGUUUUGGUUACUGAGACCCUCGAAUUCCCAUAUGAAUUGUAGCAGCAGCUAGUCAGUUACUGCAGAGGAGCGCGCUGGGAUUGUGAUUGAGACCACGUUGAGUACACGGAUCAUUCUGGGGAGCAUUGCCAUACGAA